AUCCAGCUGACGAGCCCUAAAUAGGACGAAAUAGACGUCCUGGAU
Molecule: non-coding RNA, 45 nt
Organism: Schistosoma mansoni
Lineage: Eukaryota; Metazoa; Platyhelminthes; Trematoda; Strigeidida; Schistosomatidae
Source: Rfam